GUUUAGAAUAGCUACAGGAUGGUGGGGGGUGUCUGCACUGUCUUGGAGGGUCUUAGAAUUUCAGCCUGAAGGCUGUGAUAGAUAACAACUGAACAGCUUUAACAGGAGAGACUUACCAGAGUAGGUGAAGAGGGCAGGGGCAGCAUGGAGGCAGGUGAUAAUCACAGUAAUCCAGACAAGAGGAACUAAAAGCCACUACUCCACUUGUGGUACUGGGAAAUGAGGUGAGACUGGAUUCAACAGGCAAGUUUGAGGCAGAAAUGAUAGAGGGCAACUGGUUUGGGGGAAAGAGAAGGAGGAAGUUUAAAAAUGACUGGGGAACUGAACUGCAAGGGUUUAUUUAGCAAGCAAAUGGAAGUGAGCUGGAAGACUGGAGUUCAUCUGUCCUGUGCUCCCAUUCAGCCCCCACCCCACAAGGGCUGAGAGACUAGGAGACUUCUACUCCAGCUUUUCUUCUGGAAUUUUCCCAAAUGAAAGGCCAAUGUGCACUCCUAGGCCUACUCCUCUGUCCUGUACUGGCAGACCCAGCCCUCUACCAAUCUCCAGAGGCACACAUCUCCCCAGAAGACCCUUACCUUGUCUUCACAACAUGGACUAGUUUUCACUAGCGUAUGUCAUCUGCUACUCUUCUGGACCUUUUGCAGGGAGCUGAUGCCCUGAAUCCCAUGACUCUGUUAACUGGAUUGGUGGUCUCAGGUCCAGGCCAAGAUGCUAGCCCAUUACCUGCUUUACUGCGUGGUGCUUAUCCAAAACUCCUUUAGGUCCCACCACUUGUGGGAUGGUGAGGAGGGAGAAGGCAGCGAAGGGCCAGGGAUACAAAAUCUACCAUUAUACAGGAUAGUCAUUUCUACAGUUUUCCACACUUUAGCAGAAUUACCAGACCCCAAAGGCUGCUAUAAGAUAAUUUAUUACACACUAGCCAAAAAUGUCCUGUAACAAUGGCACAUAUAAUAAUUAACAACAGCAAAGAUG
Neofelis nebulosa (Clouded leopard) is the source of this 972-nucleotide long non-coding RNA. RefSeq lists it as uncharacterized. NCBI's taxonomy places the organism in Eukaryota, Metazoa, Chordata, Mammalia, Carnivora, Felidae. The transcript has 2 exons. The record is from RefSeq and is a predicted model, not a curated record.